RNAcentral lists this ribosomal RNA (434 nucleotides) under uncultured Lachnospiraceae bacterium. RNAcentral's name for it is "partial 16S ribosomal RNA". It matches the Rfam family "Bacterial small subunit ribosomal RNA", at positions 341 to 792 of the family's 1533-position model. Lineage: Bacteria; Bacillati; Bacillota; Clostridia; Lachnospirales; Lachnospiraceae. The record is from RNAcentral.
ACGGAAGGCAGCAGUGGGGAAUAUUGCACAAUGGGGGAAACCCUGAUGCAGCGACGCCGCGUGAGUGAUGAAGUAUUUCGGUACGUAAAGCUCUAUCAGCAGGGAGGAUAAUGACGGUACCUGACUAAGAAGCCCCGGCUAAAUACGUGCCAGCAGCAGCGGUAAUACGUAUGGGGAAAGCGUUAUCCGGAUUUACUGGGUGUAAAGGGAGCGCAGGCGGUUUUACAAGUCUGGUGUGAAAAUCCGGGGCUCAACCCCGGAACCGCACCGGAAACUGUAGGACUAGAGUAUCGGAGAGGCAAGCGGAAUUCCUAGUGUAGCGGUGAAAUGCUUAGAUAUUAGGAGGAACACCAGUGGCGAAGGCGGCUUGCUGGACGAAAACUGACGCUGAGGCGCGAAAGCGUGGGGAGCAAACAGGAUUAGAUACCCUGGUA